Molecule: ribosomal RNA, 486 nt
Filed under: uncultured bacterium
Lineage: Bacteria
Description: partial 16S ribosomal RNA
Rfam family: Bacterial small subunit ribosomal RNA
Source: RNAcentral
GAUGAACGAGAGGGAGAGGAGGAACACAUGCAAGUCGAGGGGCAGCACAAGGUAGCUUGCUAUCUGGGUGGCGACCGGCGCACGGGUGCGUAACGCGUAUGCAACUUGCCCUAUACAGGAGGAUAACCCGUCGAAAGACGGACUAAUACUGCGUAUGCUCACAACUUGGCAUCAAGUGGUGAGGAAAGAAAUUCGGUAUAGGAUAGGCAUGCGUCCCAUUAGCUUGUUGGUGAGGUAACGGCUCACCAAGGCAACGAUGGGUAGGGGAACUGAGAGGUUUAUCCCCCACACUGGUACUGAGACACGGACCAGACUCCUACGGGAGGCAGCAGUGAGGAGUAUUGGUCAAUGGGCGCGAGCCUGAACCAGCCAAGUCGCGUGAAGGAUGACUGUCUUAUGGAUUGUAAACUUCUUUUAUACGGGAAUAACAAGAGUCACGUGUGACUCCCUGCAUGUACCGUAUGAAUAAGCAUCGGCUAACUCCGU